RNAcentral lists this ribosomal RNA (441 nucleotides) under uncultured bacterium. Its description in RNAcentral is "bacterial SSU rRNA". It matches the Rfam family "Bacterial small subunit ribosomal RNA", at positions 80 to 537 of the family's 1533-position model. The record is from RNAcentral.
CAAUCCCUGAGUAAAGUGGCGACCGGGUGAGUAACACGUGACUAACCUACCUUCGAAUGGGGGAUAACUCCGGGAAACCGGGGCUAAUACCGCAUAACAUCCUCGGAUCGGAAGAACUGGGGAUCAAAGGAGCAAUUCGUNNGAAGAGGGAGUCGCGGCUGAUUAGCUUGUUGGCGGGGUAAUGGCCCACCAAGGCGAUGAUCGGUAUCCGGCCUGAGAGGGCGCACGGACACACUGGAACUGAAACACGGUCCAGACUCCUACGGGAGGCAGCAGUGGGGAAUUUUGCGCAAUGGGGGAAACCCUGACGCAGCAACGCCGCGUGGAGGAUGAAGUCCCUUGGGACGUAAACUCCUUUCGACCGGGACGAUUAUGACGGUACCGGUGGAAGAAGCCCCGGCUAACUUCGUGCCAGCAGCCGCGGUAAUACGAGGGGGGCAA